UACGAACGCUGGCGGCGUGCUUAACACAUGCAAGUCGAACGGAAAGGCCCUGCUUUUGUGGGGUGCUCGAGUGGCGAACGGGUGAGUAACACGUGAGUAACCUGCCCUUGACUUUGGGAUAACUUCAGGAAACUGGGGCUAAUACCGGAUAGGAGCUCCUGCUGCAUGGUGGGGGUUGGAAAGUGUCGGCGGUUGGGGAUGGACUCGCGGCUUAUCAGCUUGUUGGUGGGGUAGUGGCUUACCAAGGCUUUGACGGGUAGCCGGCCUGAGAGGGUGACCGGCCACAUUGGGACUGAGAUACGGCCGAGACUCCUACGGGAGGCAGAAGUGGGGAAUAUUGCACAAUGGGCGGAAGCCUGAUGCAGCAACGCCGCGUGCGGGAUGACGGCCUUCGGGUUGUAAACCGCUUUCGCCUGUGACGAAGCGUGAGUGACGGUAAUGGGUAAAGAAGCACCGGCUAACUACGUG
Molecule: ribosomal RNA, 468 nt
Filed under: uncultured bacterium
Lineage: Bacteria
Description: partial 16S ribosomal RNA
Rfam family: Bacterial small subunit ribosomal RNA
Source: RNAcentral